This 486-nucleotide ribosomal RNA is filed under the name uncultured bacterium. RNAcentral's name for it is "bacterial SSU rRNA". It matches the Rfam family "Bacterial small subunit ribosomal RNA", at positions 27 to 496 of the family's 1533-position model. The record is from RNAcentral.
GAGUGAACGCUGGCGGCGUGCCUAACACAUGCAAGUCGAGCGGGGUUACUGCCGUAGCAAUACGGUGUGUGCCCAGCGGCAGACGGGUGAUUAACACGUAGACAACCUCCCUCCCAGAGGGGGAUAGCCCGCCGAAAGGCGGGGUAAUACCGCGUACGAUUCGCCGGAGGCAUCUUUGGCGAAUGGAACAUCCGCAAGGAUGGCUGGGAGACGGGUCUGCGGCCUAUCAGCUAGUUGGUGAGGUCACGGCUCACCAAGGCUACGACGGGUAACCGGCCUGAAAGGGCGAUCGGUCACACUGGCACUGAGACACGGGCCAGACACCUACGGGUGGCAGCAGUGAGGAAUUUUGGACAAUGGGGGAAACCCUGAUCCAGCGACGCCGCGUGGAGGACGAAGGUCUUCGGAUUGUAAACUCCUUUUGUUCGGGACUAAGAUACCUAUAGAAAUAUAGGGGAGUGAAGGUACCGAACGAAUAAGCCACGG